UUGAUAUUUUGUUCAAAUAAUUCACAAAAAUACUCUGCUCUCAUGGAUAUCAAACAAUUGCAAACACAACACAGGUUUAUAAAAAUAUAUAUCUUUGUUAAAUAUAGUUGUGCAACAAUUAUUGGCACCCCUAUGAAUUCAUUUGAGAAAAAAAAGUAUAUUCUCAUUGAUAUUUUACAUUUUUAGUACACCUGGGUGACUAUGAACAGGUAAUUGUUCAACAAAGCUGGAAAAUUGCAGAAGUUAGUUGCGUCUUGCGGUCAGAAAGUCUCCAAAACUGCAAUCCGAAGUCACCUACAUCACCACAAGUUGUUUGGAAGGGUUUCAAGAAAAAAGCCUCUACUCUCCUCCAAAAACAAACUUGAGCGUUUUCAGUUUGCCAGACACUACUGGAACUUAAAAUGGAAUUGGGUUCUAUGGUCAGAUGAAACCAAAAUAGAGCUUUUUGGUAAUAAACACCAGAGGUGGUUUUGGUGCGCACAGAGAGGUAGCCAUAUGGAAAAGUACCUCAUGCCCACGGUUAAAUAUGGUGGUGACUCUUUUAUGUUUUUGGGGCUGUUUUUCUGCCAGAGGACCUGGACAUUUUGUUAGGAUACAUGGCAUCAUGGACUCUACCAAAUAUCAACAGAUAUUAAAUGAAAACCUUACUCGCUCUGCCAGAAAGCUAAAAUGGUCCGUGGUUGGCUCUUCCAGCAGGACAAUGAUAUAAAACAUACAUCAGAAUCAAGACAAAAAUGGUUUACUCACCACAAAAUCAAGGUCCUGCCAUGACCAUCCCAGUCCCCUGACCUGAACCCCAUAGAAAAUCUGUGGGUGAACUGAAGAGGAGAGUCCACCAGCGUGGACCUCGAAAUUUGAAGGAUCUGGAGAGAUUCUGUGUGGAGGAAUGGUCUCAGAUCCCUUGUCGUGUAUUCUCCAACCUCAUCAGGCAUUAUAGGAGAAGACUCAGAGCGGUUAUCUUGGCAAAGAGGUAGCACAGAGUAUUGACUAAAAGGGUGCCAAUAACUGUUGCACACCUACAUUUAACAAAAAUUUUUUUGUUUUUUUAACAAAAAUUUUUUUAAAACAUUUUUUUAUAAACCUGUGCUGUGUUCGCAAUUGUUUGAUAUCCAUGAGAGCAGUGUAUUUUUGUGAAUUUUUUUAACAAAAGAUCAAAACGUUAAACAAUAAAGACAAUUUUUCACAGCAUUCUUUGCUCAAAUUUACCAAGGAUGCCAAUAUUAAUGGAGGGCACUCUAUCCUAUCUAUAUAUCACCUCUCCCCCACCAUAUUUCAAAAACAAAAUAUACAGUUUAAUAUUUAGGCAUCCAGCUCAGAUUAUAUGCUGUUAAUAAAAGUCUGGAAAAAAGGAUUAUUUGAGAUUUCUUCUCAACUAAGCGCAACAUCACCACCACUGGUCAUUAGAAAUAUACAGAGAACAGUAUGAAGACUUGAGUCUGGGACUGAUUUCUUUCUAUCCCAGACUAUAGUUUCUUGCACCUUCUCAGUGAUUGUCGUUUCAGUUGAUUACACUUAGUGAAACAGAUUUGAUCUCCAUCUUCAGCCUGCUUCGAUGAAACAUCCGUAACACAGUAUCAGAAGUGGUUGUUAAGACGCAGGUGAAAUACAGUCUCGGCUGUAAAGAACAUGAACAUAGUGCAUCCCUUUUCCCCCAAAAAAUGCCUUUGUAGGAAAAAAAAAAAGUAAAUUAAGCUCACAUUGUUGAAUCAAAGUACAAAUUACACAAAACGACAGACAACAGAACUGUAAGUUUAGUGCAUCUUGGAGGUUUCUGUUUGUUUUUAAUAGAAGGCGUUGCAGCUUUUCCAUUUCGCAUUUUCGGUAUUCAGAGGAAAUACAGAUUUACAGACUAUUUACAAAUACUUAAAUUAUAAAUCAUGAAUACAGCUACCAAUUUGUCUUUGAGUGUGUGUAAUAGUUCCUUAUUAUAGCAUCAGUGAGACCCUGAGAGAUAACAUUACUCAGGCUUCAUUGUCGAUGUAUUAAUACCUAUAAUGCAGAAAAGAUGGGGUCGGCUUUCAUUACAUUACUUUACAUUACAUUCAGCAACUUUAACACUACCUUUAAAAACUACCAGUAUGGCAAAACACCUAAAUAUCUACAGUAUAUCUGCAGUUUAUUAUGAUUAUUAUAUAGUUUAACAAACUAUUGUGUUGUUUUGCGAUAAAUAAAAGAUGCAUCUUGCGUAUUUAAUAAUUGUUAAGUGAUAUAACCACUUGAAGGAGGGAUUUUUUAAAAAAGUCAACAAAAAAACUCAGUUUAGAAGAGAAAGCUUUAGCAGCUCCGCUAGCUACAAUCUAAUUAGAUAUGAAACCAUUCAGAUUUCUAACACAGCAAACCUAGCCUCUAGUGUAUGUGCAGUUUAAUAAUGUGUGAUAUAAUACUAACAAUUAAUUCGAUCAUUUAUUUUCGGUAGCCACUAUCCUGGAACCGGAGCCCGGCGUGAGGUGGGGAUACACAUGAGAUGGUACAUCUGUGCAUCACAGCGCACCAACCAUACACACUGUCACGCACACCUAGGCACAAUUUUGUGUAAUCCAUCCACGGAUGGGUAUGUUUUUGGAUUUUUGGACAGUCAGAGGAAACCAGAGAACAUGCAAAGCUCCACAAAGACAGUAACCCGAGCUCAGGAUCGAACCGGGAAAGUUCUGAUAUAGCAAAUGGUCCAGAAGCAGAAGAACAAUCAGUUCAGGUGGUACAGUCCCCUCUGUACCUACUGGAACGGCAAGGCAAAUUAAUUUGUUUGUGCUGUACACCAAAAACAUUUGGGUUUUAGAUCAAAAGAUGGAUAUGAGAUGAGGGAUUAGGAUUUCAGCUUUUAUUUCCUGGUAUUUACAUCUAGACGUGUUUAAACAACAUAACCUUUUGCAUCAGACCACCCAAUUUUUAGGCAAGCAAAAGUAUAGGAAAAGAUAAGUCAUGAAGUUGGUUUCUUCUUUUGUGAUGAUUUUUCAGGCUUUUACCGCAGCUUCUUUCAGUUGUUUGUUGUCGUGAGGUUUCUCUCUUCAGGAGGUUCUAAAUCCUUCCACUUUCCCCCCACUGAUGAAGUCCUUUGUUGAGUUGGCAGUGUGUUUUGGAUCAUUGUCUUGCUGCAUGAUAAAAUUCCUCCUUAUUAAUCUUCAUUCAUUUCUCUGUAAAUUGGCAGACAAAUGUUCCUGUAAACUUCUGAAUUCAUUCUUCUGCUACCAUCACAAGUGACAUCAUCAAUAAAAAUUAGUGAGACUGUUCCAGAAGCAGACAUGCAAACCCAAUCCAUAACAGUUCCUCCACCAUGUUUCACAGAUGAGCUCGUAUGUUUUGAAUUAUGAGCAGAUCCUUUCUUUCUCCACACUUUGAACUUUCAAUCACUUUGGAAGAGCUUAAUCUUGGUUCCAGAACUUUUGUGGCUCAUGUCUGUAUUUCUUUGUGAAUUCCAACCUGGCUUUCUGAUUCUUACUGCUGAUGAGUGGUUUACAUCUUGUGGUAUGGCCUCUAUAUUUCUGCACUUGAAGUUUUCUUCAAAUGGUGGAUUGAAAUACCUUUACCCCAGCCCUGUGGAGGUUGUUGGUGAGGUCACUAACUGUUGUUUUUGGGUUUUUCUUCACAGUUCUUACAAUGUUUGUCAUCAGCUGUUGUUCUUUUCCUUGUCCGACCCAUUCAGUGGUGUCUGUUGCUCAGUACAACAGUGGUUUCUUUCUUUUUCAGGACAUUCCAAGUUGUUCUAUUGGCUAUGCCCAGUGUUUGUGCAGUGACUCUGAUGGAUUUUUCUCCCAUAGACAGCUCUGUGAUCUUCAUGUUAGUUUAUCCUUUUUAACAACAAAUGCAGUCUUCACAGGAGAAACUGAAAGCUAAAACCAAGAGUAGAUGCUCAGAGCUAUUUAUUGUUUAAGCAAGCAAUCAAUCAAUCUAACAGGACACACCUGGGUAACAAGGAAACACCUGUCAGUCACAUGUUCCAGUAUUUUUUGCUCACCUACAAAAUUUUGUAAUCUGAUAUAAAGUGUGCUGUGUUCUAUAUUGUUGAAGACAUUUACAUAUAAAUAUCAGGAAAUAAAAGCUAAAAUUCAAAACUCUCUUCUCAUAUUCAUCUUUUGACCUCAAACCCAAAUGUCUUAAGUCUACAGCAAAAACAAAUGAAUUUUCCUUUUCUUUCCAAUAGUGUCGAAGGGGACUGUAUAUAGCUUUUUGCUAAAGCUUGACAUUUAUAUUAGAGCCGAGUGACAAAAUGGUAUGGUUCGGUAAAGAAAAAAGCGGUGAGAGGCAAUAACCACAGAGUUCCUACAAUUUUCAUUACAAAGUCACUGAUGUAAUUUAUUUUUUUAAGCCUUUAGAUUGUAUUGACAGCGGGAAUAUUUCAUUUGUUGGGAAUUCCAACAAUCUGAUCUGGUAAAAUCACAUUAAAUCACAAGAAACUAAACAACGGUCAUCAAAAAACAAAAAGAAAACUACUGUACAGCGUUCUCCACAUUUAUCUCUCACACCACUGCGUUUAUACUUGUGUACACGUCAAUAUUAUCAAAAAACACAUUUCAUUUCACUUUCCUUCCUAGAAACUAUGUAAAUAACAUUUAGUGACUUUUUUUUGUUUGUUUUAAAAUACAAAUCAAAAACCAUCAGCGUACACGAUGUAAAAGGCCGAAGCCUGGUUAAGACCAUACAAAAUUUAAAAUGCUAAAACAAUAUAAAAGAAACUACUUCAAGCUUUUCAAUGUGUUAUGGAGUGAAAGGGAUUCACGUUUCGGGGUUUAGGAGUUCAGAAAAUGCGACGUUAUUCCUAUACAUAAAUAAAGGAAUGAGCACAGAACUACUGAUCCACAGAACGGUGAAACAAGCGAGUCCUCUUCUCGUUUCUUCUGUUAAAUCUGGGAAGAGAAAACACAUUGUUAUACAGAGAAAGUGUGAGUGCUGGAGUGUGAGACCUGCGACACUCACUCGUGUGCGAGACGUGUUGUGUUGUGUGUGACUACUGCCAGGCUCUCAGUGUGGACGCUCGUCCUCCUCGCUCAGCUCUCUGUCUGCAUGAAGGGAAACAGAGCGUGAAAUUGUCCCUAAUUGAGACGAAGCAGCUUUACAGUAAUGUACAUUUAGAUCCUUAAUGAGCAUAACAACGGCGUUAGUUGAAAGUGGAAAACUGUGGAAACGAAAAAAAGGAAAAGUUGCGAGCACAGGAAACAAAAAUAACUUUUAAAAUGCUCACUCAUGUCUUUCACCCCUGCUGAAAAAACCCAAUAGAAACAGUCAUAUAAUAUGUAAUUGUUCUAAUGAGAAUUGCACUGAUUUUAAUGGAAGCUGUAAUGGGUCUCUACUGGUAAUCUGUUGCCUUCUAUUGGUGGCAUAUUAUGUCUAGUGGAUACCAUUAAGGAUCAAAAAGCUUCUUUAGGUUAAUAGCUGACGGUUUGUAAUGGUAUUUGUAUUGGAAACCAUUAGAAUGUCUGGGGACAUCUUUGCACAACGUAACUUCUUUGGUUAAAUUAUCAACACGGUGGGGUUUUUUUUUUUUUUUUUUUUUUUUAUACAGCACAUAUUUCACACACAAAGGCAAUUAAAAGUGCUUUACAUAAGUACAUUUAAAAAUGAAGACACUCGUAAGGAAAACUGCAUCGUUUAUACGCGAGAUAUAUGGAGUACUGUUUCAGACGUGUCACAUCCGUAUCGCAAACAAUUCACAUAUGGAUAUGGCAUAUGUUUUUUUUCCCUCUUAAUGAUGUCAUAAGAGCGUGGGCGGAGUCAAGUAUCAGAGGAGGCGGGUUGAAACAUCAGCAGGUAACACGUGAUUAUUCUCACCUGUGUGGUGUCACGGAGCGGUUACUUACAUGUGCUUCGUUUGUCCUUAAAGACCUGACGUGAGCCAGAGAGAGGCGGUACUGUCAGCAUCGGCACAACCAGUUACGAAAUGAAAACUAAACGGAAAGCGAAGAGGUGCCAAUAUCCGCCCGUCUCCUUCCUACAUUUCUACAGAUGUAUUCCUAAAACAAGAAUCUCUAUAUAUUUUUUGUUCUAGUUCACGUCUUGUUCUAAAUACGAUGUGCUCUGCGAUGGUCUUUAAAAAUUUGUUGAAAAUGUUUAGUCUCCUACAAAAGUUUGUCCAUUUAAAGUUUGUUAAAAAAUAAAAAAAAGAUUUCUCUGCCUUAUCCUCAACACAUGCACACAGACCCAUUGAUCCUAAACUUGUCACUUAUGCGAGACAUUUUGUUAGCCAACGUGAGUGUAAACGUCACAUACGUAACGCUGGAGUCAUCCUAAUUAGACGUCAGAACAGCACUCGGACCGAGACUCACCUUGUUUGACUGUGUCCUCUUCUCCGUUAGCUCUCUUUCUAAACUUAUCCUUCACCUUCGCUGCUUUCACUUUCCUCACCAAGGGCUCGUCGUCUGAACUGGCAUCUGCAUAGAGCAGGCAUGUGAGGAAAAAAAAUUUAAACAAUUACACCAUCUUUUAUUGCACGUUCUGCUUUAUUUCUUUAAAAAAAAAAAAAAAUUAAAACGUCAGAGGAACAGUUCUAUUAAGGGGACACAAGCUCAUUUCAAAUCCGUCCAAAGAAUCUUAGAAGACAAAUAAAUUUUGUUUGUGUUUUAACGCCAUGCCAGCUUCUAUAUCUUGGUGAGUCUUCUCCUAUUAUUAAAAACGUGUGCGUCAUCCUGGAGUGACCUGUUCGACAGCGGGUGUAGACGAUCUGGUAAGUAGAGAAACGUUUUCUUUUGCCAACAAUAGGGCUGAUUUCAUAGUUUGUUCAUAGUGCAUUGGUCCCACUCAGUUUGAGACAAAUAAAUAAACAAAAUGCAAUACAGAACCAACACCGUAGUCUUGAUCUGAAUAAACAAACAGCUAGUGAUGACCAUCGAAUUAACCACUUCACUGGUCCAGUAUUUUUACUUUCUGUUAAUUGUUUAUAAUAAAUAAACAAACAAACAAACAAACAAAUAAAUAAAGUCUUCUUUUCUGUUCGUUAAUUAAUUUCCCUUAUAUAUCACAGCACUGUUGAAUUCUCGAAUCGGACUGCUCACAUGUUCGCAUUUGUUCCAAUAUGCUAUUGUUUCUAUAGUAACAGCUCGUUCACACGGACUUGCAUGGCAAAUGCGCCACGUGAUCCGACCUUAAUAAUUAACAGUGUGUAGUUUAAUUUAGGUAAAGCUUUCUUUAAAUACAUGUUUAUGGAACAUUUAUGGAAGGAGUCUCCAGUGCCAGCGAUUCUGAGAAGGGAAAAAUAAAAAUUAAGCGAGGCUGGUGAGGGAAUGAGUGGUUAUAGCUGCUACAGUGAUAACAGGACCUUGUGGACAUUUGACAACAUUCAAUGUAACUAUAAACGGAUAAAAAGUAAAAGCCAUGGUGCUCUUUAAUAAACAGAUAAAUUGUUAGCAUUGCUGUGGUAUAUUUAUUUAUUAUUUACACACAUAUGCUUAUAUAUGUACACACAUUACAUACACAUUUUUAUAUA
Molecule: long non-coding RNA, 7414 nt
Organism: Ictalurus punctatus (channel catfish)
Lineage: Eukaryota; Metazoa; Chordata; Actinopteri; Siluriformes; Ictaluridae
Source: Ensembl